GGUUACCAUGGAGAAGGGCACCAUCAGGCAGAAAUACUGGGCAUGCAUGGCCUCGUCCGGUGACACUAGGCACUAGAAAUGAAUGAAAAACUGUUCACAGCUUGAAGAACUGAAAUGGCCACAGUGCCACCAACAGACCAAUCCUUUACAGCAGUCUUCAGCACUUCCAGCAAGUUCAACAUCACCUGUGCCAAAACCGAAAGGAACCAAGAAACCAUAGGCCCACUCUUCAUGAAAUAAACAUGGGGAAGACUGGCAACGUGCCCCACCAAUACCCUAGCCCUAUCCUCUAUCCAAAGGCGCACCUGAGGGAUGACGUCACCGAGUGCACCCUGGCCCUUCUCUGAUGCAGCGCAGCUCGUUGGUAACAGUUGCCAAGCA
Long non-coding RNA from Acanthaster planci (crown-of-thorns starfish), 381 nucleotides. The record is from RefSeq and is a predicted model, not a curated record. NCBI's taxonomy places the organism in Eukaryota, Metazoa, Echinodermata, Asteroidea, Valvatida, Acanthasteridae.